CCUACGGGAGGCAGCAGUGGGGAAUAUUGGACAAUGGGGGGAACCCUGAUCCAGCGACGCCGCGUGAGUGAAGAAGUAUUUCGGUAUGUAAAGCUCUAUCAGUAGGGAAGAAAGAAAUGACGGUACCUGACUAAGAAGCCCCGGCUAACUACGUGCCAGCAGCCGCGGUAAUACGUAGGGGGCAAGCGUUAUCCGGAUUUACUGGGUGUAAAGGGAGCGUAGACGGCGAUGCAAGUCUGAAGUGAAAGGCGGGGGCCCAACCCCCGGACUGCUUUGGAAACUGUAUGGCUGGAGUGAAGGAGAGGUAAGUGGAAUUCAUAGUGUAGCGGUGAAAUGCGUAGAUAUUAGGAGGAACACCAGUGGCGAAGGCGGCUUACUGGACUGUAACUGACGUUGAGGCUCGAAAGCGUGGGGAGCAAACAGGAUUAGAUACCCCAGUAGUC
Molecule: ribosomal RNA, 443 nt
Filed under: uncultured bacterium
Lineage: Bacteria
Description: partial 16S ribosomal RNA
Rfam family: Bacterial small subunit ribosomal RNA
Source: RNAcentral